UUUUCUAUAAUCAGCACUGCUUCCUUUGUGAUACCUGUGCCUACUGAUUUCCUGACUCUGUCUGCCCUCUGGCCUGUUUUGGACUCUGGCCUCCUGGCAGCCUUGCUCCUGCUCUGACCAAUAGCUCAGACUGCCCAUGCCCCAGUUGUGACACUUCCCUGGGACAGUAAUGGGUAGAGUGCUCUGCUGCCUGUCACUGAACUUAGUGCAUGAAAGUUCAGUCUUUGAAAAGCCACAUAAGGAACAACUCUUACUAAUCUCAGAGGAGUCCCUCACACCCUGCAGGGCUAGAAUGGUGCCUUUUGAUUCUGGAGGCUUCUUUUCUGUCUUGCUGGAAGCACAGCUGACCCUGCCGAUCAUGACCCCCAAGACGAAAGCAGAUUCCAGUUGAUUGGGACUUUCUCGGCAUCACAACUGCCCUGGCAGUUAGAUAUCCUCUGACCCUCCCUGCCAAGGAAGUGACUGUCCUUAAGCUCUUGUUAGCAAGGAUGAAACAGAAAAGAGGAUUUGCACAGUGCAAUUAAAGAGAGAAGACUGCUAAAGCCACCGCCACUUCCACCCAGUUCUAGUAGUAUUGAUGCUAAAAACACUGAGUGGGGUGAAUUAUAUCCUGACCUGUUUUGAACAAUCCAUAUUGAUUCUUAUCUGUGCGUAUGUGCACAAGGUACAGAGAGAACGGGUAUUACCUUUGGCCAGUGGCAGCUUCACCAUUGGCCACUGGCACCACUUGGUAACCUUCCUGCAGCACCACAAGAUCCACUAACAAGCUGCUUUUGCCCAACAUCACUGGCACAGCCUACUGAACCAAGGUCUCUAGUUACUUUUGGAGGAGACAAAAUGACCUGACAUGUCCCACACUUUCAGCUUCCUCCACUGGCCCUGAGCUUGUUACCUCUGGGCCCCAACUAUGCCUCAGUUCUCAAGUUGCUUUCUAUUCUUCAGUGCCCCUCUCGUGUUUGUUAGCCUACUCAGCUUAGCACGGCCUCUUAGCUUCUCCAGAGCCGUCUUUCUCUCCUAGCCAC
This is a long non-coding RNA of Mauremys mutica (yellowpond turtle), 1022 nucleotides long. RefSeq lists it as uncharacterized. The record is from RefSeq and is a predicted model, not a curated record. The transcript has 5 exons. NCBI's taxonomy places the organism in Eukaryota, Metazoa, Chordata, Testudines, Geoemydidae.